CAAUAGCGUAUAUUAAAGUUGUUGCAGUUAAAAAGCUCGUAGUUGGAUUUCUGGCAGGGGCGAACGGCCACACACAAUGUGUGUGAGCUUGUUUGUUCCGCCAUCCUUGGUGAGAUCCUAUUUGGCAUUAAGUUGUCGGGUAGGGGAUAACCAUCGUUUACUGUGAAAAAAUUAGAGUGUUUAAAGCAGGCUUAUGCCGUUGAAUAUAUUAGCAUGGAAUAAUAAGAUAGGACUUUCGGUCUAUUUUGUUGGUUUGCGAGUGAAAGUAAUGAUUAAUAGGGACAGUUGGGGGUAUUCGUAUUUCAUUGUCAGAGGUGAAAUUCUUGGAUUUCUGAAAGACAAACUGCUGCGAAAGCGUCUGCCAAGGAUGUUUUCAUUGA
RNAcentral lists this ribosomal RNA (380 nucleotides) under uncultured eukaryote. Its description in RNAcentral is "partial 18S ribosomal RNA". It matches the Rfam family "Eukaryotic small subunit ribosomal RNA", at positions 592 to 976 of the family's 1831-position model. The record is from RNAcentral.